This 492-nucleotide ribosomal RNA is filed under the name uncultured bacterium. RNAcentral's name for it is "partial 16S ribosomal RNA". It matches the Rfam family "Bacterial small subunit ribosomal RNA", at positions 29 to 507 of the family's 1533-position model. The record is from RNAcentral.
AGUGAACGCUGGCGGUAGGCCUAACACAUGCAAGUCGAACGGCAGCACAGUAAGAGCUUGCUCUUACGGGUGGCGAGUGGCGGACGGGUGAGGAAUACAUCGGAAUCUACUUUUUCGUGGGGGAUAACGUAGUGAAACUUACGCUAAUACCGCAUACGACCUACGGGUGAAAGCAGGGGAUCUUCGGACCUUGCGCGAUUGAAUGAGCCGAUGUCGGAUUAGCUAGUUGGCGGGGUAAAGGCCCACCAAGGCGACGAUCCGUAGCUGGUCUGAGAGGAUGAUCAGCCACACUGGAGCUGAGACACGGUCCAGACUCCUACGGGAGGCAGCAGUGGGGAAUAUUGGACAAUGGGCGCAAGCCUGAUCCAGCCAUACCGCGUGGGUGAAGAAGGCCUUCGGGUUGUAAAGCCCUUUUGUUGGGAAAGAAAAGCAGCAGGUUAAUACCCCGCUGUUCUGACGGUACCCAAAGAAUAAGCACCGGCUAACUUCGUG